UGGGGAAUAUUGCACAAUGGGGGAAACCCUGAUGCAGCAACGCCGCGUGCGGGAUGAAGGCCUUCGGUUGUAACCGCUUCAGUAGGGAAGAUAUAAGACGGUACCUACAGAAGAAGCCCCGGCUAACUACGUGCC
This 135-nucleotide ribosomal RNA is filed under the name uncultured bacterium. RNAcentral describes it as "partial 16S ribosomal RNA". It matches the Rfam family "Bacterial small subunit ribosomal RNA", at positions 355 to 509 of the family's 1533-position model. The record is from RNAcentral.